Molecule: ribosomal RNA, 654 nt
Filed under: uncultured rumen protozoa
Lineage: Eukaryota
Description: bacterial SSU rRNA
Rfam family: Eukaryotic small subunit ribosomal RNA
Source: RNAcentral
GGGUGGGCCUGAGAACGGCUACUACUCUACCGAAGGCAGCAGGCGCGUAAUUACCAAUCCUGAUAGGGAGGUGGUGACAAGAUAUAACGACUCGAUUAUGUCGUGAUUGUAGUGAGGACUCUUCUUACAGAAUCACAAGAACGAUUAGAGGGCAAGUCUGGUGCCAGCAGCCGCGGUAAUUCCAGCUCUAAUAGCGCAUAUUAAAGUUGCUGCAGUUAAAAGCUCGUAGUUGGAUUUCAAGGAUUACUCACUCCUAUGGAAUGUGUACCCUCUCACUCUCUCUUCUUCUGUUACUGUGAGAAAUUAGAGUGUUUAAAGCAGGCUAUUGCAGAUACAUUAGCAUGGAAUACGAAUGUAUCUAGAAUCUCGUUUAAUUCUAGGUUCGAUAAAGAGAAGGGGGGAAGUAGAUGCUGCUGACAAAGGGAAUCUGGAUUGUAAGAUAUUAACGUCUUAUUUUUUUCCAGGAUGUUUCGUGGUGGGGACGGACACCCGCCCCCCCCCCUCCUAUACUGUCGUAUCCUAUCUUAACCAUGCCGACAGGAUUGGAUGGGCUAAACCCUUUCAGCCUUAGAAAACCAAGGCUGUGGGUCUGGGGGAAAUGUCCAAACUCAACUCCACCAACUGCCGAAGGCCUUCAGAGGAGCUGCGUUAUUG